Molecule: non-coding RNA, 297 nt
Organism: Helobdella robusta
Lineage: Eukaryota; Metazoa; Annelida; Clitellata; Rhynchobdellida; Glossiphoniidae
Rfam family: Metazoan signal recognition particle RNA
About the family: The signal recognition particle (SRP) is a universally conserved ribonucleoprotein. It is involved in the co-translational targeting of proteins to membranes. The eukaryotic SRP consists of a 300-nucleotide 7S RNA and six proteins: SRPs 72, 68, 54, 19, 14, and 9.
Source: Rfam
GCUGGGAGUUGUAGCGUGCUCCUGUAAUCCAGCUAUUGGAGGCUUAGCGUGUUGGAGGUUUUGAGGUCGGGGGUUCUGCGGCCCGUUGAUCUAUGUCGAUCGGGUGUCCGCACUAAGUCCGGCAUCAAUAUGGCGGCCCGGAGGGAGCUCCGAGUUGCCAGGUUGUCUAAGGAGGGACGAACCGGCCCAGGGUGGAAACACAGCAGGCAAAAGUCCCCGUGUCGGCCAGUAGUGGGAUCGCACCCGUGAAUAGCCAGCGAGUUGUAGCCUGACCAACAUAUGCCGACGCAUGUUUUU